Molecule: long non-coding RNA, 594 nt
Organism: Helianthus annuus (common sunflower)
Lineage: Eukaryota; Viridiplantae; Streptophyta; Magnoliopsida; Asterales; Asteraceae
Exons: 2
Source: RefSeq, a predicted model, not a curated record
CAACGGCUGAUAUCGGUGCCACGUAUGAAAUCCAGAUCCCUUCCUAGACGGUCGUGCAGAUCAUCCUAACAUUUGCUUCUCAUUUAAGUUUUUUUACCAACCCUUUCUUUCUUCAUCUCCCCACUCCAGAUCAUUCAACUUUAAACAACCCGCAGAUCUCCACGCCUUGAGAAACAGAAGAGGAACUGAAGAUGCACAGCCACGGUCGUCCUCCACCGCCACCACCGCCUUAUCACCACCAUCAUCAUGGGGGUCCACAUGACAAUGUAUGUAUGUCACUUUGUUGUUGGCCUUGCAUGACGGUGACCUCAAUACUGGGGGGUUGCAUUUCUUGUCUUUGUUACCCUGUUCUUCGUUGUUUUGGUUUGGAUCGUCAUUAUCCUCCGCCCCCUCCACAUUAUCACCGUUACUGAUAAUCGUAGUAUCAUGACGUUGGUUGUUUAUUUGUGUUUAGGCUUUGGGAUGUUGUCGUCUUAUUGAUUGUGGCUUGGAUGUUUGUUUGGCCACAUUUUUAGGCGGUACUCGUAUAAUAUGUAAUCGAAUAUUUCAAUUCUAAUGGUAAUGUUUUCAAACCUAUUGUUAUCAGGUAUCGAA